This 245-nucleotide ribosomal RNA is filed under the name uncultured bacterium. RNAcentral's name for it is "partial 16S ribosomal RNA". It matches the Rfam family "Bacterial small subunit ribosomal RNA", at positions 524 to 768 of the family's 1533-position model. The record is from RNAcentral.
UACGGAGGGGGCAAGCGUUACUCGGAAUUAUUGGGCGUAAAGGGCGCGUAGGCGGUCCCGCGCGUCGGAGGUGAAAUCCCCGGGCUUAACCCGGGUCGUGCCUCCGAUACGGCGGGACUUGAGUCCGGGAUAGGGGAGCAGAAUUCCCAGUGUAGCGGUGAAAUGCGUAGAUAUUGGGAGGAAUACCAGUGGCGAAGGCGGCUCCCUGGACCGGUACUGACGCUGAGGCGCGAAAGCGUGGGUAG